GGUGGCUCUUGGGUGACGCACCCGGGAAUCAGGCUCCUUCCUCUCUGGUUACAGGUGUGUCACCUGAGAACCCA
Molecule: non-coding RNA, 74 nt
Organism: Myotis lucifugus (little brown bat)
Lineage: Eukaryota; Metazoa; Chordata; Mammalia; Chiroptera; Vespertilionidae
Source: Rfam